UUAAGCCAUGCAUGUCUCAGUAUAAGCUUCUAUACGGCGAAACUGCGAAUGGCUCAUUAAAACAGUUAUAGUUUAUUUGGUGGUCAGCAAUUACAUGGAUAACCGUGGUAAUUCUAGAGCUAAUACAUGCGUCCAAACCCGACUUCGUGGAAGGGUUGUGUUUAUUAGAUACAGAACCAACCCAGGCUCCGCCUGGCCUUGAGGUGAUUCAUAAUAACCGAACGAAUCGCAUGGCUAUGCCGGCGAUAGACCAUUCAAGUUUCUGACCUAUCAGCUAUCGUCGGUAGGGUAUUGGCCUACCGUGGCAAUGACGGGUAACGGANAAUUAGGGUUCGAUUCCGGAGAGGGAGCCUGAGAAACGGCUACCACAUCUAAGGAAGGCAGCAGGCGCGCAAAUUACCCAAUCCUGACGCAGGGAGGUAGUGACAAGAAAUAACAAUACAGGGCAUACAUGUCUUGUAAUUGGAAUGAGUAAACUUUAAAUCACUUUACGAGUAUCAAUUGGAGGG
RNAcentral lists this ribosomal RNA (509 nucleotides) under uncultured eukaryote. RNAcentral's name for it is "SSU rRNA". It matches the Rfam family "Eukaryotic small subunit ribosomal RNA", at positions 44 to 555 of the family's 1831-position model. The record is from RNAcentral.